RNAcentral lists this ribosomal RNA (728 nucleotides) under Pseudomonadota bacterium. Its description in RNAcentral is "bacterial SSU rRNA". It matches the Rfam family "Bacterial small subunit ribosomal RNA", at positions 28 to 745 of the family's 1533-position model. Lineage: Bacteria; Pseudomonadati; Pseudomonadota. The record is from RNAcentral.
AUUGAACGCUGGCGGAAUGCUUUACACAUGCAAGUCGAACGGCAGCACGGGGGCAACCCUGGUGGCGAGUGGCGAACGGGUGAGUAAUAUAUCGGAACGUGCCCAGUCGUGGGGGAUAACGUAGCGAAAGUUACGCUAAUACCGCAUACGAUCUACGGAUGAAAGCGGGGGAUCGCAAGACCUCGCGCGAUUGGAGCGGCCGAUAUCAGAUUAGGUAGUUGGUGGGGUAAAGGCUCACCAAGCCAACGAUCUGUAGCUGGUCUGAGAGGACGACCAGCCACACUGGGACUGAGACACGGCCCAGACUCCUACGGGAGGCAGCAGUGGGGAAUUUUGGACAAUGGACGCAAGUCUGAUCCAGCCAUUCCGCGUGCAGGACGAAGGCCUUCGGGUUGUAAACUGCUUUUGUACGGAACGAAAAAGCUCUUACUAAUACUAGGAGUCCAUGACGGUACCGUAAGAAUAAGCACCGGCUAACUACGUGCCAGCAGCCGCGGUAAUACGUAGGGUGCGAGCGUUAAUCGGAAUUACUGGGCGUAAAGCGUGCGCAGGCGGUUAUAUAAGACAGAUGUGAAAUCCCCGGGCUCAACCUGGGAACUGCAUUUGUGACUGUAUAGCUAGAGUGCGGCAGAGGGGGAUGGAAUUCCGCGUGUAGCCAGUGAAAUGCGUAGAUAUGCGGGAGGGAACACCGGAUGGCGGAAAGGCAAUCCCCUGGGCCUGCACUGACG